GAGUCAUAACUACGAACCCUAAAUCUCAAGUAUCGUCUUAAAGAUACCUCGAAAUAGGUAAAUUCAUCGUCAACUCUUCUACCACAUUCAGGGAAACGAAUCAACUCCGAAAAUUAAAAUAAUCGGAAGGGACAGAGAGAUACCCGGGACUGGCUCCAUCUCCAGUGUGAGAGAGAGACCUGUCGUCAUCGUUGUUGCGGUGGUUGUUGGAUUGAUGGCUGUCGUCAGCUUCUCCGCCUGAGAGCUCCUCGUUGUUGACGUGAGGGUCCAUGACAGAGC
Molecule: long non-coding RNA, 279 nt
Filed under: Linum usitatissimum (flax)
Lineage: Eukaryota; Viridiplantae; Streptophyta; Magnoliopsida; Malpighiales; Linaceae
Description: long non-coding RNA (LUSI_LNC000822)
Source: RNAcentral